GUGGGGAAUAUUGGACAAUGGGCGAAAGCCUGAUCCAGCCAUGCCGCGUGUGUGAAGAAGGUCUUCGGAUUGUAAAGCACUUUAAGUUGGGAGGAAGGGCAUUAACCUAAUACGUUAGUGUUUUGACGUUACCGACAGAAUAAGCACCGGCUAACUUCGUGCCAGCAGCCGCGGUAAUACGAAGGGUGCAAGCGUUAAUCGGAAUUACUGGGCGUAAAGCGCGCGUAGGUGGUUCAGUAAGUUGGAUGUGAAAUCCCCGGGCGCAACCUGGGAACUGCAUCAAAAACUGCUGAGCUAGAGUACGGUAGAGGGUGGUGGAAUUUCCUGUGUAGCGGUGAAAUGCGUAGAUAUAGGAAGGAACACCAGUGGCGAAGGCGACCACCUGGACUGAUACUGACACUGAGGUGCGAAAGCGUGGGGAGCAAACAGGAUUAGAUACCCUAGUAGUCC
RNAcentral lists this ribosomal RNA (450 nucleotides) under uncultured bacterium. RNAcentral's name for it is "partial 16S ribosomal RNA". It matches the Rfam family "Bacterial small subunit ribosomal RNA", at positions 354 to 796 of the family's 1533-position model. The record is from RNAcentral.